Long non-coding RNA from Pocillopora damicornis (cauliflower coral), 4477 nucleotides. The record is from RefSeq and is a predicted model, not a curated record. Lineage: Eukaryota; Metazoa; Cnidaria; Anthozoa; Scleractinia; Pocilloporidae.
GGGCAGAGUAGCUUCGAUUGUAAGCCAGCUACAACGAGACCAAUUCUCCAGUAUACAAGUUGUUCCAUUUGGUAAUGAGUACUCCCCCCAACAAGAAAAUAGACAUUUUCAUCUUCUGAACUUGGAAAAUGAAAUAAUAAUAAAAUUCGAGUUGCGGAGGGAAGCACAGGGAAGAUUCCGACUGCAGGAGGAGCAGAGACCUUUCCAGGUUCCAUUGGUUCACAUUAUGUCCUUGAGCCAGAACAGAAUUCCUAGUCCUCUUGUGCAGGUACAUGUGGAAUCUCUUUGUGAACCUGGAGAACUUUGCCAGGACCACUUGAGAAUGACACUGGCGUACGGAAGAACUACUCAACGCAUGUUGAUACCAAUAUGGUCUGCCAGACCAUCCGAAUCCACUUAGAAAGGUUCUCUGCAUCUGUUGUCAUUGGAGGAUUGACCAUAAAUACCAGUCUACAGCAUAUUACUUAUAAUACUUUGAAUUUUUUUUUAUAAUACUCCAUCCGUAGUAUAGUUCAUAAUUAAAAGGAGCUACGUUACAUUUCAUGCACCUCUAAAAGUUAGCCUUCGACCAACCUUUUAGUGGAGAAAUCGUAGCCAGGAUUCAGAUGUUGUAACAGUCUUUAGAUAAAAUGAUUUGAAGACAAAAAUCAGCUUUUAGAAGCAGGCCACUAUGAGAAGCCACUACUUUGAACAAGUUAAUUUUUUUCUCGUCUUUUCUUGCAAUCUGUUUAAGUUUUCUUCUGUCUUUUAUCCCUUUUUGUUACUUUUCAGCUGACAAUUUCAGUUUUGGUCUAGUUACAUUUGACUGACUGUUGUUUUUUUAAACAAUGAAAGCAAUUUUGCUUAUCACAGUAAGCAACUUGAAAGCAGAGUGACGUUGCUCCUUUAUAGAGGUCAAGGGACAAACGAAGGAUAGAAAAAUGUCUUAGAUUAGGAAAUCUAUAACCACUCUUGCAUGAUUACCAAAAAAAGCAAAAAACAAAAAAAAAUUAAACAGGAUGGAGUGACUUUCGUUAAGUCUUAAUUGUAGAUCUUUCACUUCAUUAGCGAAAGUGAACAACAGAGAAGAAGUAGAAUUAGUAUAAGUAUGCUGGUCAUGACUAUUUCAAUGUUGUCUGUAGCCCAGCCUAACACCAAACAUUCCAUCCUCACGCUCACCUUGAGAAAUUGGGUGACAGAGGCUAUAGUUCAGUUAUUAAAUGUAAGGUGUUUUGGCGAAAAGGCCCAAGUAACUUCUGAUGGAAUUCUGAAACAGCAUCUGGGUUGCAUUAUAUGUGCAUGAAAUGAUCAAAGAAGUUGAAUGGAAACAAGGACUCACUUGGGACCUUUUCUUUUAAUCCCUGCAAUGAUUGUCUGGGUAAAAUUGCAAUGCUUCAUGAAAGCUGAAACUCUUGAAAGCGAUUAACACUGGAAAGUAAUACUAACAGUGUUAGAAAAUCCAAAUUUGCCUUUUUGAGAAUUCCAUGACUUCUUUCAGCCCUAUGUUUUCACACGCACACAAACAGGUUCAUUUAUGGUCCAAAGUUUGUCUGUUUGUUUUUUUUUUAACAAAUCAGAAAGGAAAUUAAACCUUGUUGAGUGUGUGAUAUUGCUCCUUUUGUAAUAGGCUAUAUUUGAUCAAAACCUGCAAUAUAUCAGUGUGGAAUUCUCAAAAGGGACCUACAGUGGCUGAUAACAAUUUAUCGAAGAUCUUUGACAAAAAUUGAAUAUGAUACCACCACCCAUAGAAUGGAUCAGUAAUAUAGACUGCAACAUAGACUAUAACUGCUGUUGUAUCAAGGAAGUACUCACCAUCAUAAAACAAAAUAGCUUACCAAAACACACCACAAUUUGUCAACAAUACUGAGUUAAGAAAAUCUAUGGACAUGUUCUUCCAUACAGACCACAAUUAUUACCUUGAAAUACAUGUACAUGUAUCAUGAACUGAGCAGUGGGUGGUGGUGUCAUAUGAAAUCUAAUUAUCAAAAGAUCUGUAGAUUGUUGCAGCCAUCAUAGAGCCUGGUGUAAACUAAGCAAUAUUAUCACCACUUCCAAGUUGUGAUAGUAUUGCUUUGACUACACAAGGCUGAGAGCUGUCAGCAUGAUAAGCCUUAAUUCAAAUUUGCAAGCUAGUUUAAUUGUUAUAGGAUUGUUAUGUAUUUAAUUAGUACAAUAAUUAUCUCUUUCACGUUAAGUAAACAUUUAUCAUAAUUCUUAAGUUUGGCUUUCCAUUCUGACAGCUGCAUAAAUACAUGACAUUCAUUCAUGACCUUAAAAUAUGAUCAUGUUCUCUCAAGCCAUAUCAAAAUUUAUGUUUGGUGUAACUCUAAAAAUUCUUCUUGUGCAUUUAAUAUCACACUAGAUUACAAUUCUUGUAGCUGCCCAUAUUAAGCCUCAUAAUUUUUUCAAAAUGAUCUGUCAGUCCUGAUUGUUGCCAAAUUACUUGAAAGUCAUCAUAAGUAGAUAAGGUAUUGGCCAUGAAUGAAUGUCAUGUAUUUGUCACUUGUACAUUGUUUUUUAAUAUAAAUAGUCAGUAUGGUUAACUAUCACAUUCAGAAAACUAAGAACAUCUGAAAUAUAACCAAAAUGUUUAAUGUGUUAUGACAAGUUAACGACAUUUCUGUCAGAAAGCAGAGAAAAACUAGAAAACCACAAGUUAUUUACUGUUCAAUUUAACAAUUUAGUUAUCUCACUCAACACAGCUAGAAAUACAAGAAAUAAUUUCAGAGUUCACUGUUUUCUGAACAUGAUAGUUAACCAUUAGACAGCCAAGUCUGCAAGACCUAGUAAUUGUAACAAUUCUUUAUCUAAGUUUAUUUGCUGACCUUGAAGUUAGAUCAUUUUUAUGUCAAGUGGGAAUGUGGUUUUGAUUUUUCUAUUUUGGCUUGAUCAUUUAUAGUAGUGUUAAUGUUACUUCAUAGCACAAUGUUUUUGUGAAUUGGUUUUACAAGUAACUCACAAUGCAGCUUAUGAAUGUUUAUUUUGUUAUUUUUUGGGGUGAACCAAGACAAGUUUUGAUUAAUUAAGUAAAUUUGCUGUGUGCUUAAUUAUUUCUAUCUUAGAUCAUGAAUAAGUAAUAAAUAAAUAAGUAAUUAACACUUUCUUUCAUUCUUCAGACUUGGCUGUUGUAUAUAAAACUAAAGAGCAUGACAGGGUCACAUGGGAUCACAAAAUUUAUCUUCUUAAUUAGAUGUUUCCCAUUUCUUUCUUUCAUAUACUCAAGAAAAUAAGAAUUUGUACUCCCAAGUGACCAAUAUCACACAGGCAUUGAUGAAUUAGCUAAUGGUGACAAUGUGUUUCAAAGAAAAUCUGGGUGGUAGUCUCAUUACAUUUUUAAUUUACCUUUGUUAAUUGUGGAGAAAGCAAACACAAAAAUACUUAUAUCUACUUUUCAUUUUUCAAUGUCAUUUAGAAGUAACAGGAGAAAUCCCUGCAGUUCAUCAAUAUCUGUGCAAUAUUCAUGUUCUUGCGUGAAACUUUUUGUAAGGUUUUAAGUAUACUGUAAAUGAAGGAUAUGCACACAACAGAUAUGUAGUAAUAACCCCUGCUAUAAGAACAUCUGGCUCUUUCAUUUUCCCUACCCUUUUUGAAAAACACAGUUGUCCUAAGCUCACAUUUCAAGAAAAAGCAAACAAUCAAUUCAUGAAAGCAUCACAAGCUGUGUGAUGCAGUGUUAAGUUAUGCAAGGAACGGUUGAGAAUUUGUAUGCAUCACAUGGAAUGGUAAGGACAAAGAUAUAUGGCUGAUUAAAACGCUAAAUAUUCCAAACUAGGCAUAUUCUGCAUACAAGAUUAAUACAACUACUCACUCCUCAUGUGACCACAACAGACACACAAGGAGUGAGUAAUUUUCAUUGAUCUUACACAUUGAAUGUUUAUAUUUCUGUAUAUUUGGCAUUGUUAAUCAACUAUAUUUCUUUCUCUUUACUAUUCCUUGUAAAGCAUUCAAACUCUCAAUGGUUCCUUGUGUAACUUAACACUGUGUCACACAGCAUGUGAUGCUUUCAUGAAUUAAUCUUUUGCUUUUUCUGGAGAUGUGAGCUAGGGAUGCUAGUGCAACAACAUGCAAACUAUAGAGUUGGAGAUGGAUAACUGCAUAUCUGUUUCACGCUGCCAACUAUAUGUCUCAUGUUGCAGACUUCUUGGUAGACAGGUGUGCCAUCAUGCAACAUGCAAAAGGUCAUUUCUUGAGAAAGGAUGGGAUGGGGGAAUAGAAAUCUUUAAUUCUGGUCAACGAUUGACAGCAGCAUGAAUGAAAUUGCAAGUCUAGCUCUGAGCCUUAAAGUAAGCAUGCUUUUAAAAAGCACAGGAAUCAAAACUACAUGUAAAAAAGAUCUUCAAGCAUGAUUGGUCAUCAGUCAACCCCUACCUUGACAGGCUAAUACCAUUUGUAGGUUGUGCAUAUUCUGUUUCUUCUGUUUUUUUGUUAGCAUACACUUUGUCCCUAUAUAAUCAAACCUAUAUACCUUUAAGUUAGUGAGAAUAAAACUGAAAGCAUA